RNAcentral lists this transfer RNA (68 nucleotides) under Salmo salar (Atlantic salmon). It matches the Rfam family "tRNA". Rfam says of the family: Transfer RNA (tRNA) molecules are approximately 80 nucleotides in length. Lineage: Eukaryota; Metazoa; Chordata; Actinopteri; Salmoniformes; Salmonidae. The record is from Rfam by way of RNAcentral.
UCCUUUGUAGCUCAGUUGGUAGAGCAUGGCACUGGUAAUGCCAGGGUAGUGGGUUAGUUUCUCAGGAC